CCUACGGGAGGCAGCAGUGAGGAAUAUUGGUCAAUGGACGAGAGUCUGAACCAGCCAAGUAGCGUGAAGGAUGACUGCCCUAUGGGUUGUAAACUUCUUUUAUAUGGGAAUAAAACGUUCCACGUGUGGGAUUUUGUAUGUACCAUAUGAAUAAGGAUCGGCUAACUCCGUGCCAGCAGCCGCGGUAAUACGGAGGAUCCGAGCGUUAUCCGGAUUUAUUGGGUUUAAAGGGAGCGUAGGUGGAUUGUUAAGUCAGUUGUGAAAGUUUGCGGCUCAACCGUAAAAUUGCAGUUGAAACUGGCAGUCUUGAGGACAGUAGAGGUGGGCGGAAUGCGUGGUGUAGCGGUGAAAUGCUUAGAUAUCACGAAGAACUCCGAUUGCGAAGGCAGUUCACUGGACUGCAACUGACACUGAGGCUCGAAAGUGUGGGUAUCAAACAGGAUUAGAUACCCCAGUAGUC
RNAcentral lists this ribosomal RNA (460 nucleotides) under uncultured bacterium. Its description in RNAcentral is "partial 16S ribosomal RNA". It matches the Rfam family "Bacterial small subunit ribosomal RNA", at positions 338 to 795 of the family's 1533-position model. The record is from RNAcentral.